RNAcentral lists this ribosomal RNA (422 nucleotides) under uncultured Flavitalea sp. RNAcentral describes it as "bacterial SSU rRNA". It matches the Rfam family "Bacterial small subunit ribosomal RNA", at positions 355 to 774 of the family's 1533-position model. Lineage: Bacteria; Pseudomonadati; Bacteroidota; Chitinophagia; Chitinophagales; Chitinophagaceae. The record is from RNAcentral.
UAAGGAAUAUUGGUCAAUGGACGCAAGUCUGAACCAGCCAUGCCGCGUGGAGGAUGAAGGUCCUCUGGAUUGUAAACUUCUUUUAUUUGGGAAGAAACCCAUAUUUUCUAAUGUGGUUGACGGUACCAGAUGAAUAAGCACCGGCUAACUCCGUGCCAGCAGCCGCGGUAAUACGGAGGGUGCAAGCGUUAUCCGGAUUCACUGGGUUUAAAGGGUGCGUAGGCGGGUUGGUAAGUCCGUGGUGAAAUCUCCAAGCUUAACUUGGAAACUGCCGUGGAUACUAUCAAUCUUGAAUGUCGUGGAGGUAAGCGGAAUAUGUCAUGUAGCGGUGAAAUGCUUAGAGAUGACAUAGAACACCAAUUGCGUAGGCAGCUUACUACACGAAUAUUGACGCUGAGGCACGAAAGCGUGGGGAGCAAACA